ACUCCUACGGGAGGCAGCAGUGGGGAAUAUUGCACAAUGGGGGAAACCCUGAUGCAGCCAUGCCGCGUGUGUGAAGAAGGCCUUCGGUUGUAAAGCACUUUCAGUAGGGAGGAAGGUAGUGUAGUUAACACCUGCAUUAUUUGACGUUACCUACAGAAGAAGCACCGGCUAACUCCGUGCCAGCAGCCGCGGUAAUACGGAGGGGUGCGAGCGUUAAUCGGAAUUACUGGGCGUAAAGCGCAUGCAGGCGGCCUGUUAAGUCAGAUGUGAAAGCCCGGGGGCUUAACCUCGGAAUUGCAUUUGAAACUGGCAGGCUAGAGUCUUGUAGAGGGGGUAGAAUUUCAGGUGUAGCGGUGAAAUGCGUAGAGAUCUGAAGGAAUACCGGUGGCGAAGGCGGCCCCUGGACAGAUACUGACACUCAGAUGCGAAAGCGUGGGGAGCAAACAGGAUUAGAUACCCUGGUAGACUGUCA
RNAcentral lists this ribosomal RNA (472 nucleotides) under uncultured bacterium. Its description in RNAcentral is "bacterial SSU rRNA". It matches the Rfam family "Bacterial small subunit ribosomal RNA", at positions 335 to 802 of the family's 1533-position model. The record is from RNAcentral.